CCAUCACUUCGAGUGAGUAAGAUCCCUCAGAGACGAUGAGGUUGAUAGGUCCGAGGUGGAAGCGUGGUGACACGUGGAGCUGACGGAUACUAAUAGAUCGAGGACUUAACUAAUUU
RNAcentral lists this ribosomal RNA (116 nucleotides) under Virgibacillus halodenitrificans. RNAcentral's name for it is "partial 23S ribosomal RNA". It matches the Rfam family "Bacterial large subunit ribosomal RNA", at positions 2813 to 2925 of the family's 2925-position model. Lineage: Bacteria; Bacillati; Bacillota; Bacilli; Caryophanales; Bacillaceae. The record is from RNAcentral.